CAGAGAUGGAAUUCCAUCUGAAUCUUGCUGUGAUUUUUUGGAUGAACUCAUGGGAUGUCAUUGCAGAUUCAAGGUUGUAUGUGUUUGUAAUUUGGGUUUAGUAUUGAUCAAUCACUUCUGGGCCAGAGGGGAAAUGUGCAUGUGAAUUUUGAAAAUAAAAAUUUGAAAACAUCCCUGAAGAUAGUGACCCGUUGCUCCAUUCAUGGGUAUUUGAGCUUAUACAGGUGUCUCAGGCUGUUGUCAUGAAGUACCACAAAGCUGGUGGCUUAAAACACACCUUUAUUUAUCUUACAGCCCCAGGAGUCAGAAGCCCAGAUGGGUCUCCUGACUAAAAUCAACACGUGCCAGGGCUGUGCUCCUUCUGCAGACUCGAGAGGAAUGCUGUUCCAGCUUUCAGAAGCGUCCACACCCGUGGGCUGUGGCCCCAUGUCCCUCCAACCUCUGCCUCCCAAGUCACACCUCCUCUUGCCUCCCUGCUUCACUUCUGAGGACCCCAUCCUGCAUAAUCCUCUCCUCACCUCCAAAUCCUUAAUUGAAUUAUGCUUGCAGAAUCCUUUCUACCAGGUGAGGCACCAUAUUCACACGUUCCAGAGAUUAGGAUGUGGACACGAGUGGUGGUGGUUGUCCUGCUACCCAGAGUUCUUCCCGAUUCCUUUCUAUUUUACCAGAGACAAAGCUAACAUCUUUGUACAUGUCUAUAUGCACUGGUUAUUUCCUGAGGAAAAAAUCCUGAGUCACGUUGCGUGGAAUGGCUGCCCAAGUGGACCCUCCAUGGAAAUAUGAACCAACUGUGAAUGGUCCCUUAUUCCCAAUAACCAAACGUUAGAAGCAACCCAGUGUCCACCAGUGGAUGACCAGAUAAACAAGCUGUGUGUAUCUAUGCAGUGGAAUGUUAUCAACUUAAAGAAGGAAGAGAAUUGGUGAGCCUCAAGGACAUUAUGCUCAAUGAAGUAAGCCAGUCAUGAAAGGACAAAUUUUACUCCUGUGAGGUCCAUAGGGUUCUCAAAUGCAUAGAGACAGAACAUUGACAGUGGUACCAGGGGUUGGGGGUGGGGAGAUGGUGUUUAAUGGAGACAGAGCUUCAUUUGGGGAAGAUGAGGAGAGCUAUGGAUGGAUGACGGGGUUGGCUGCACAAUAAUAUGGAAGUCCUUAAUGCCACCAAAUGUGCACUUGAAAUGGUUAAGAGGGUAUAUUUUACCCUCUAUUUUGGUAUGUUUUACCAAAAUUCAAUUUUUGAAAAGAUAGAAUGAGAAACUUGAAUCCUCACAACAUAUUGGAAAACAAACCGUUUCACUUGCCAUAAACAGAAGGAAGAGGGAGAUGUGGAGAAGUUGGGGGAGGGAAAGCAAAUGACGAUUACCAAAAUUUUAACAAAUAUGAUUACUAUUUUAUUUUUUUAUUAUUUUUAAAGAUUUUAUUUAUUUACGCAUGAGAGACACAGAGAGAGGCAGAGACACAGGCAGAGGGAGAAGCAGGCUCCCCAUAGGGAGCCCAAUGUGGGACUGGAUCCCAGAACCCUGGAUCACACCCUGAGCCAAAGGCAAAUGCUCAACCACUGAGUUGCCCAGGGGCCUUGAAGAUUACUAUUUUAAAAACAAAACCCAAUAAAAAAUGAUGGCUUACUCA
Molecule: long non-coding RNA, 1626 nt
Organism: Vulpes vulpes (red fox)
Lineage: Eukaryota; Metazoa; Chordata; Mammalia; Carnivora; Canidae
Source: Ensembl